Pygocentrus nattereri (red-bellied piranha) is the source of this 126-nucleotide long non-coding RNA. RefSeq lists it as uncharacterized. The transcript has 3 exons. NCBI's taxonomy places the organism in Eukaryota, Metazoa, Chordata, Actinopteri, Characiformes, Serrasalmidae. The record is from RefSeq and is a predicted model, not a curated record.
UGUAACUGGUCUCUCUCUAUAGUCAGGCUGGUGUAGCUGGUCUGUAACUGGUCUCUCUCUAUAGUCAGGCUGGUGUAGCUGGUCUGUAACUGGUCUCUCUCUAUAGUCAGGUUGUUGAACUUGAUC